GGAAUAUUGGACAAUGGGCGAAAGCCUGAUCCAGCCAUGCCGCGUGAGUGAUGAAGGCCCUAGGGUUGUAAAGCUCUUUCAACGGUGAAGAUAAUGACGGUAACCGUAGAAGAAGCCCCGGCUAACUUCGUGCCAGCAGCCGCGGUAAUACGAAGGGGGCUAGCGUUGCUCGGAAUCACUGGGCGUAAAGCGCACGUAGGUGGGUCGCUGAGUCGGGGGUGAAAUCCUGGAGCUCAACUCCAGAACUGCCUUCGAUACUGGCGAUCUUCGAGUCCGGGAGAGGUGGGUGGAACUGCGAGUGUAGAGGUGAAAUUCGUAGAUAUUCGCAAGAACACCAGUGGCGAAGGCGGCUCACUGGCCCGGUACUGACACUGAGGUGCGAAAGCGUGGGGAGCAAAC
Molecule: ribosomal RNA, 399 nt
Filed under: uncultured bacterium
Lineage: Bacteria
Description: bacterial SSU rRNA
Rfam family: Bacterial small subunit ribosomal RNA
Source: RNAcentral